GUAAAGGUGAGAGUGGCAAACGGGUGAGUAACACGUAGGCAACCUGCCGACAGGAUGGGGACAACAUUCCGAAAGGAAUGCUAAUACCGAAUGGAGUCCGGGGAUGGCAUCAUCUCCGGAUAAAAGAUGGCCUCUGAAUAUGCUAUCGCCUGUCGAUGGGCCUGCGUCUGAUUAGCCAGUUGGCGGGGUAACGGCCCACCAAAGCGACGAUCAGUAGCCGGUCUGAGAGGAUGAACGGCCACAUUGGGACUGAGACACGGCCCAGACUCCUACGGGAGGCAGCAGUGGGGAAUCUUCCACAAUGGGCGAAAGCCUGAUGGAGCAAACGCCGCGUGAGUGAAAGAAAGGUCUUUCGGAUCGUAAAAGCUCUGU
RNAcentral lists this ribosomal RNA (372 nucleotides) under Selenomonas sputigena. RNAcentral's name for it is "bacterial SSU rRNA". It matches the Rfam family "Bacterial small subunit ribosomal RNA", at positions 83 to 436 of the family's 1533-position model. The record is from RNAcentral. Lineage: Bacteria; Bacillati; Bacillota; Negativicutes; Selenomonadales; Selenomonadaceae.